This 468-nucleotide ribosomal RNA is filed under the name uncultured bacterium. RNAcentral describes it as "partial 16S ribosomal RNA". It matches the Rfam family "Bacterial small subunit ribosomal RNA", at positions 28 to 507 of the family's 1533-position model. The record is from RNAcentral.
GACGAACGCUGGCGGCGUGCUUAACACAUGCAAGUCGAACGGAAAGGCCCUGCUUUUGUGGGGUGCUCGAGUGGCGAACGGGUGAGUAACACGUGAGUAACCUGCCCUUGACUUUGGGAUAACUUCAGGAAACUGGGGCUAAUACCGGAUAGGAGCUCCUGCUGCAUGGUGGGGGUUGGAAAGUUUCGGCGGUUGGGGAUGGACUCGCGGGUUAUCAGCUUGUUGGUGGGGUAGGGGCUUACCAAGGGUUCGACGGAUAGCCGGCCUGGGAGGGUGACCGGCGACAUGGGUACUGAGAGACGGACCAGUCUGCUACGGGAGGCAGCAGUGGGGAAUCUGGCAGAGUGGGGGGAAGCGUGAGGCGGCAGCCCUGGGAGCGGGAUGCCGGGCUACGGGUUGUAAACCGCUUUGUACGGUGACGAGCAGUGAGUGACGGUAAUGGAUAAAAAAGCACCGGCUAACUACGUG